This is a long non-coding RNA of Corticium candelabrum, 455 nucleotides long. RefSeq lists it as uncharacterized. NCBI's taxonomy places the organism in Eukaryota, Metazoa, Porifera, Homoscleromorpha, Homosclerophorida, Plakinidae. The record is from RefSeq and is a predicted model, not a curated record. The transcript is spliced from 2 exons.
GUUGGGUGUCCCGGAUAAUACAAAUAUGGUCACUGCGAGAACAAUUUGCCCCACUUUAGGCCGUCUGCUGGCUGCUACAGCGGUGACUACCUCUAGAAGUAUUCGUAUAAUGAAGGAUCCAAGUAAGCACUUAUUUGGGGCCCCGUCAGCGGGUCUCGGGUAUCGACUCUCGGCAGUUCCACAGUCAGGACGAACGUCUGUUACCUCUACUUUAUUUGGAAAGCCUCAAGUUCGGUACAGAAGUUGCUAAGCUGUCACGUGACGCAAGAAGCAACAUCAUCCUGAUUGACUCAACUUGUAUUAGUAAUUCGUCAGGAUUGUUUGUAACUCUACAUAGAUAUAAAUUUUGCGCAGUUGAUUAUUUAAUUAGUUUUAAAUUAAUGACGUUUUGCGUCAUAUCAUCAUAAGUGAUCUGCAGUUGCUUCUUGAUGUAAAUGUUAUGAUUUGGGGACUCA